Molecule: non-coding RNA, 73 nt
Organism: Paramuricea clavata
Lineage: Eukaryota; Metazoa; Cnidaria; Anthozoa; Malacalcyonacea; Plexauridae
Source: the annotation of a GenBank genome assembly
GACCGCGUAGCUCAGUUGGAAGAGCAUUGGGCUAGUAUUCCAAAGGUCGUAGGUUCGAAUCCCACCGGUGCCG